RNAcentral lists this ribosomal RNA (926 nucleotides) under uncultured Mycoplasma sp. RNAcentral describes it as "bacterial SSU rRNA". It matches the Rfam family "Bacterial small subunit ribosomal RNA", at positions 381 to 1352 of the family's 1533-position model. The record is from RNAcentral. Lineage: Bacteria; Bacillati; Mycoplasmatota; Mollicutes; Mycoplasmatales; Mycoplasmataceae.
GUCUGAUGGAGCAUACCAUGUGAACGAUGAAGGCCUUUUUGGUUGUAAAGUUCUUUUACGAGGGAUAAUUAUGAUAGUACUUCGUGAAUAAGUGACAGCAAACUAUGUGCCAGCAGCUGCGGUAAUACAUAGGUCGCGAGCAUUAUUCGGAUUUAUUGGGCGUAAAGCAAGCGCAGGCGGAUGUGUAAGUUCUGUGUUAAAUGCAGCUACUCAAUAGUUGUAUGCACCGAAUACUACAUGUCUAGAUUGUGGUAGGGAGUUUCGGAAUUAAGCAUGGAGCGGUGGAAUGUGUAGAUAUGCUUAAGAACACCAGAGGCGAAGGCGGAAACUUAGGCCAUAAAUGACGCUUAGGCUUGAAAGUGUGGGGAGCAAAUGGGAUUAGAUACCCCAGUAGUCCACACCGUAAACGAUGGGUAUUAGAUAUUAGGGCUUUAGCUUUAGUGUUGUAGCUUACGCGUUAAAUACCCCGCCUGGGUAGUACAUAUGCAAAUAUGAAACUCAAAGGAAUUGACGGGGACCUGAACAAGUGGUGGAGCAUGUUGCUUAAUUCGAUAAUACACGAAAAACCUUACCAAGGUUUGACAUCCCUCGCAAAGCUAUAGAAAUAUAGUGGAGGUUAUCGAGGUGACAGGUGGUGCAUGGCUGUCGUCAGCUCGUGUCUUGAGAUGUUUGGUUAAGUCCCGCAACGAGCGCAACCCCACUCUUUAGUUACUUUUCUAAAGAGACUGCACAGUAAUGUAGAGGAAGGAUGGGAUCACGUCAAGUCAUCAUGCCCCUUAUGCCUUGGGCUGCAAACGUGCUACAAUGGCGAACACAAUGUGUUGCAAACCAGCGAUGGUAAGCUAAUCACCAAAUUUCGUCUCAGUUCGGAUAGGAGGCUGCAAUUCGCCUCCUUGAAGUUGGAAUCACUAGUAAUCCCGUGUCAG